This 253-nucleotide ribosomal RNA is filed under the name uncultured bacterium. Its description in RNAcentral is "partial 16S ribosomal RNA". It matches the Rfam family "Bacterial small subunit ribosomal RNA", at positions 524 to 776 of the family's 1533-position model. The record is from RNAcentral.
UACGUAGGUGGCAAGCGUUGUCCGGAUUUAUUGGGUUUAAAGGGUGCGUAGGCGGUCUAUUAAGUCAGCGGUGAAAUACUCCAGCUUAACUGGAGGGGUGCCAUUGAUACUGAUGGACUUGAGUCAAGUCGAGGUAGGCGGAAUUGACGGUGUAGCGGUGAAAUGCUUAGAUAUCGUCAAGAACACCAAUAGUGAAGACAGCUCACUGGGCUUAAACUGACGCUGAGGCACGAAAGUGUGGGGAUCAAACAGG